UGCUUGCACUCAAUUGGAAAGAGGAGUGGCGGACGGGUGAGUAACACGUGGGUAACCUACCCAUCAGAGGGGGAUAACACUUGGAAACAGGUGCUAAUACCGCAUAACAGUUUAUGCCGCAUGGCAUAAGAGUGAAAGGCGCUUUCGGGUGUCGCUGAUGGAUGGACCCGCGGUGCAUUAGCUAGUUGGUGAGGUAACGGCUCACCAAGGCCACGAUGCAUAGCCGACCUGAGAGGGUGAUCGGCCACACUGGGACUGAGACACGGCCCAGACUCCUACGGGAGGCAGCAGUAGGGAAUCUUCGGCAAUGGACGAAAGUCUGACCGAGCAACGCCGCGUGAGUGAAGAAGGUUUUCGGAUCGUAAAACUCUGUUGUUAGAGAAGAACAAGGACGUUAGUAACUGAACGUCCCCUGACGGUAUCUAACCAGAAAGCCACGGCUAACUACGUGCCAGCACGCGCGGUAAU
This 468-nucleotide ribosomal RNA is filed under the name Enterococcus faecalis. RNAcentral's name for it is "bacterial SSU rRNA". It matches the Rfam family "Bacterial small subunit ribosomal RNA", at positions 70 to 524 of the family's 1533-position model. The record is from RNAcentral. Lineage: Bacteria; Bacillati; Bacillota; Bacilli; Lactobacillales; Enterococcaceae.